AAGUUUUACUGUUUGGCAGGCUGGCUUCCCGGCCGCUUGCGCCCCACUCCCUGCACUUUGACUGUUUCAAGUUUCCCAGGAGCAACCCCAAAGGCGCAGCCCCAGCUUACCUGCUCCCUGGGUAUGCAGGGCAGGGAGGUCCUCCGGUGAGACUUGCCACUGCAGCCGGACAUCUCGCCGGCCACCACCGAGCUGGACCGCCUCCUCCUCUUCCACCCCGGAAUCUCUUCCUUGGUCCUCGCGCUCAACUGGGACCCAAACCGCUCCCUGGGCGGAGCCGGCCCGGAGCACUGCGGCAGGAUCUGCUCGGCGUACCUGGCCAGCAGCAGCCCAAGCACGGCCGCCAAGUAUGCCAGGUAAGGUCUCCAGGCGACCUUGAACCUCUCCAGAGAAACCAGGGCCACCGUCCUAAGCACGCUAGUCCAGGCGACCAUGAGGACGCCCAGCCUCAGCCUCAGCACCAGCCAUGUCGCGCCACCUAGGCAGCUGAGCAGGACCCCCGCGGCGGGCAGCGACAGCAGGCGACCGUCCCCCACGCCCAAGGAGAGCUGCACCAGCGCUUCCCCGGCGCAGCAGGCGGCCAACAGCGCGACGGCCAGAGGCAGGCGCACCCCGGCGCGCAGCAGGCACAAGCCCAUCCAGAAGAAGGCGCACAGGAGACUGAAGAGCAGCGCGGCCGGCUGCAGCCAAGGGCUGAGCUGCGCGCCGCCCCCGGGAGCACCUCCCCGAGGGCCCGGGAAGACGCCCCCUCGGGCUCCUUCCUCCUCCUCCUCCUCGGCCGCCGCCUCCUGACUCUUCUCCAGCUCGCCUCCGACCUCCCCGCCGACCAGCCUCACCAGCAGCGCCAGCAGCACGGACAGGGAGCCCGCGCACAGCGCCGAGGAGAGUUGAGGCGAGCGCCGGAGCGGCUGCAGCGCCAGGGCUCUCCAACAACAGCCGGAGCCCCGAGGGGAUGGAGAGGACUCGCCACGAUGGCGGUGGUUCCCUCUUGCCACACGGGCGGGACUCGCCCCUCCGAGGCCCGGCUUGGCUAGGUCUUGGGCGGCCUCGCCCCGCACUGCCAUGCUCUGCGGACAACCCCCACCCGUCCCACUCGCGCGUCCGCGCUCUUCUCGAGCCCACUCUCGGAAUCACUUCUUCCGGAUCUACGCGAAGUUUCAGCCUUGCAGAGAACUCAAGAGUGCGAGCUGAAGACUUCAAGUUGGCAGCUAGCAGGAUCAGCCUUGGAAUUUUCAACCCCCACUCCUCUCCUUUUCUCUUUCUCUCUCUCUCUCUCCCUCUCCCUCUCCCUCUCUCCUUUCCUUUCUCUCUUAAAAGUCCUCCGCUCCACCCUCAGCCAGAGUUUAUACCCUGCGGGGUCUCUUCCUACUUCGGGAUUUUAACACUUGCUCAACUCACUGAGUGCUCAGGGACCGCUGAUGCUGAGGCAGGCUGGGGCACUGGGCGAGCUCAGGCCAUCCUUGGGCGUUCAGGGACGGCAGGAAAUAUAGAGUGAGAAGAAUAAAAAGAUGAGAAAGGAAUAGAGAGAUGGCUCAGCAAUCAAGAGCCCCUACUGCUCUUUCAGAGAACCCAAGGAGUUCCCAGCACCCACAUCUGGUGGCACAGAGCCACCUGCAUUUAACUCUAGUUCCAGGGGAUCUGAUGCCCUCAUCUGGACUCCACAGGUAUCUGUACUCACACAUAUUCACACAUAACAAACAAAAGGACAGACAGGCAGAAAGAAAACUUUUAAGUAAUUUUAAAAGUCUAUCUGGGAGUGCCAGGACAUAUAACCCCGGGAUCUAGAAAGCUGAAACAGGAAAAGUGUUGGGAGUUAGAAGACAGCCUGCAAGACAAAUGGAACACUGGGGGAAAGUGUAUCCCUCUCCCCAACUCCAGAGCACAAGUAUCCUUAGUCAACAGUUACUGUUUAUGUGUGGUAAAUUCUACUAUUUGCUGAGCUUCCUCUGCAGAGCUAGGAAGCCCAGCUAGUGACACACACCCACAACAAACAAAAUCCCUCCAUUAUUAAUGAUUUCAUGAUCACAUACCACAGUGACCAUGUGGCAUUUAGAAAACCACGAUGCUAACUUCAUUGGCAGUCUAUGCAAAAGAAUUCCGGAUCUGCUCAGUAUAUUCAAAUGACAUCAAAGUGUUGCUGGAAUAAGAAGUGUCAACUCUUGCUCAGCUUGAAUAGUGACUGACUGGGUGUCAUUUGUCUCUCCCAAAUAAUAAUAAACUGAUGUUUGUCUCAAUUAUCUUGGUGCUUCAGGUUAAAGUGUGUUUAUAGCUUGGAGGACUUGGGUAAUUGGCUCAAAAUGCCACUGUGUUUUGUGUGUAGCGAAAGAGCAAUAAAAUAUUGCCAAGAGGAGAUGGAGGAAAUAAAAUGGAUUCAUGGGGGCAGUGGGAAAACGUGGCUUAUGUUGUAGAUUCUUUUUUUAUGGGAAACAGCCUACUGCAAUCCCAGCUGGGCAUUCACAAAGCCUUUAGGCAAAAAGGAACAGGAGCGGGUGUGACCAGGCAGCCAGCUCCCCUCUGUCACAUGUCCAGAACUAUGCCACUGCUCAGGAGCAUGUGUUGGGCAGCUAGUCAACGGUGGCAGUGGCACCAUCUGUCUAAUAAUUAAGGAAACAGGAGUAGCAUCGCCUUUGCUGAAGAAACUCGAGCCCCCUAGCAUGCACGCACACUUCCAUGAGUUUCCAUUUUACCCAAGAUUCAGCUGCCAGAGCCUACCUGGGACCCUUGAAAGUGAAGAGCCUGCUGCCCCUUGGCAUGGGGAAAGCACAGUAAAUCAGAAAUCUGAGCAUAUGUUGUAAAGCUUGCAGGGGGUCGGGGUGGGGGUAGAAGCAGAAUUGGGGAUGAAAGAAUAUUUCCAUGUUUCUCCAUCUUUGACGUCCACACCCAUUUAGUUUUUCAGGUAAAGUAAUUACAUAUGAUCAUCCAAACAGAGCUCUCACAAGAUUGACAGUGGAUAUGGUUUGAAAGCUGUCAUCAGCGGACUAGUGAGAUCUCAGUAGGUAAAGGAAAUUUCUGUGCAAAGACCUUUGGACCUGAGCUCAAUCCCAGGACCACACAAAAAGAGACGGAGCUCCUCAAAGUUGUCCCUAAUUGCCACAUGCCUACAUGGCAGACGAAUGGCCACACGUGAACAUUUCUUUCAUACUGCUAAUAUAAGUGUUUUAGUAAAACACUUGUCAUUGACUAACAGCAAAACAUCACUGAAUCUGUGUGUUGAUGGCAUUAUUGGAGCUGGUCAUUAGUGUAAAACGAAACAAUGUCCUGGCACCUGGCUUUCUUCCCAUUUUUAAGAAAAAUUACAAUCAGAAAGUUAACUGUCCCACUCAAAGACAAGAAGGUCUAUUUUUCUGCCUCUUAACCAUUCCAGAACCCAAGGAAGGUAUUGAAAGCUGGCCAGAUGUUCUUGCUAGAAGCAGAAAGUUGCAGGGAUAGACAGGAUAGAAGUAGGGAAGUGAACGGUGGCUAGCGGUUAUCAGUCAGGUGAGUUAAAUGAGGCCGGCCACAGUCUAGGAGACAGCUUUGAAGCAGCCAAAUAUAAAUAUUGCCCUUUGAAACAGGUGACUAUUCCUGAUUCAGGAAAGUGACCAAAAACUAACAAACAAGAAAAAGAUGACCCACACAUAGGUAACACAAGAAACUGUCAGAAAGCCCCCUACUCAGCCAGGUCCAGCCAAUGUGGCUUGAUUGGUUCUUUGCGAAAAUCCUUUGCAUUUUGCCAAAUAUAAAUAUACUCAAGGGGAAUGUCCUGAACAUUUUAAAAGAUUUCACUCCUCUGUGUGGCUUCCUUUGUUCUCCACUACCUCUCUGACCUUCAUGCAUUUACAGUGAGCUGCCACUGAGUGGCUAAACUAGGCAGUGCCUUAUCAUCCGGCCUGCCACUCCACCCUUCCACCUACACACCCACUUUCUUGGCCAUCCGCUCUUGUCCCUGGAAAGAACACAUUGCCUUUGACUCUUCUUUGAUUCGCUCACUACACUUCCAGACUACUAACAAAAGCACUUGCUUCUGUUUCUAAAGGAUGACCUGAAUAUCUCUCUUCUUUGCAUCCCUUUUACAGUAACCAAGUAAAAGUUCCUUACUAUCCCCAGCUAAGAUAGUUGCAAUAACAACUGGUCUCGUCCUCCUUUUUCUAUGGAGCAUAAUGAUAGUUCAAAUAUAUAAGUGGAUGAUGGUGUAUCUCCUGCUUAAAACCGUGCACGGUCUCUCAUUGCACCAGAGACUCCAAAGGACCCGGGACAAGCUACAAAGUCCGCCAUGAUCUUUCCAUCCACUGACAUCUGACCUUCUGACCUCUUCCUGUUCUGGCAUUCCCACGUUACUGCCCCAACUGUUACAAUGUCCUCCUCUCACAUUGUGGAGCAAAAAAUAAAAUUAUAUUUUAAGUAAA
Long non-coding RNA from Mus musculus (house mouse), 4385 nucleotides. RefSeq annotates it as predicted gene 28523. The record is from RefSeq and is a predicted model, not a curated record. The transcript is spliced from 2 exons. NCBI's taxonomy places the organism in Eukaryota, Metazoa, Chordata, Mammalia, Rodentia, Muridae.